AAUGAACGCUGGCGGCGCGCCUAAUACAUGCAAGUCGAGCGAGAAGACGUAGCAAUACGUUUGUAAAGCGGCGAACGGGUGAGGAAUACAUGGGUAACCUACCCUCGAGUGGGGAAUAACUAGCCGAAAGGUUAGCUAAUACCGCGUACGCUCCUUGGACUUCGGUUCAGGGAGGAAAGCGAUACCGUGGGUAUCGCGCUCUUGGUUGGGCUCAUGUCCUAUCAGCUUGUUGGUGAGGAACGGCUCACCAAGGCUUCGACGGGUAGCUGGUCUGAGAGGAUGGCCAGCCACACUGGGACUGAGACACGGCCCAGACUCCUACGGGAGGCAGCAGUGGGGAAUAUUGCGCAAUGGGGGGAAACCCUGACGCAGCGACGCCGCGUGGGUGAUGAAGGCCU
Molecule: ribosomal RNA, 398 nt
Filed under: uncultured bacterium
Lineage: Bacteria
Description: bacterial SSU rRNA
Rfam family: Bacterial small subunit ribosomal RNA
Source: RNAcentral